GCACUUCUACUCCAGUUUAUUGUACUGAACUUCAGCCAAGCAAGGCCCCUAAACCAGGCCAGAUACAGAGGCCAACACCAAGGCCGUCUCUGCCAUGGCGGGUAUAAAAUCGAAACAGUAAAAAUUCAUUCAAGCCUGGGGUGGUGGCACACACCUGUAAUCUCAGAGCUCUGGAGGCAGAGGCAGGAGGAUCGCCUUGAGUUCAAGGCCAGCCUGGGCUACAUAGCGAGACGCUGUCUCAGAAAACAAAAAACAAACAAAAAAACAGGGGCAAAAAGAUAAGAUAUUAGAUUUAAGAGGGGCUUUAAUGCAGGGCAGACAGGGAAGGGGUUUGGAGUGGAGACUUCAGGAAGGAAGACAGGCAGUCAGUGAGGUUUGUGACACACCCAAAGUUCCAAAUGGUGAUGAAAGAACAAUGGAUUUUGUGCAAGAAGUGGCUUCGUCCAAUUGUCCAAUUUUCAUCUUGUUUGUUGGUUUGUUUGUUUGAGACAGGGUCUCUCCAGGUAUCUCAGGCUGUCCUCGAACUCAUGGCGAUCCUCCUGCCUCAGCCUCUGGAAUGCUGGGAUUACAGGUGUGCCCCUCCACACCCAGCGCAAUUUUGAUCUUUAACAGACUGUUCUGGUCACUGACAAGGGCCUGAGCCAGGAGUCGAGCAGGCAGGGUGUGGUGAGGUGGAGAGAAUCGGUGGAUGGUGACUUGCUGGGAGACAGGGCCGACAGGACUGGCUGAGGGCUGAGCCAUGGACCCUGGGGGACAGCAGAGUUGGGGACACCUGACAGAGGAACUGGAGGGGAUUCAGCGGAGGACGCCAAGCGCUGGGGUCGGGACUCUCUUCGCUUCAUCUCACGACAGCGCAGGGCAGACCCGGGUGGAACACCGGACGAGGGACUGUAUCCUGGGGACAGAGCCACGGGAGAGGCCGAAGAGAAGACCCGAGGAACUCCAGGCUGCGGCUGGAGCUGGCAGGGAUGGGGACCUUGAGAAGCAGAAGGGAGAACCAGCCUCUGCAGAAACAGAUCCUGCAGCAGGCCCAGCGACGGGGCAGAGGAAGGCUGCUGUUGGAAGUUAUGAAAGUGGAGUCUGUCUGGUCUUUCUUGGGCGGAAGAGAAAUCAGCAAGGCUGCAGGGGCAGGAACAAACGUGAAGCCAAGUUUUGCUUCCCCUUGAUCCUAGGCCUCAGUCUGAAUUACUGAGUUUGCCACAGAAGUACCAUAGGAAUCAUUUAUUAUUACAGGCAUUAUUAAGUUUUAUUUAUAUGACUAUCUGAAGAAAUAAUCCUACAUGUCUCUCCUGUCUUCAGACAUUGUUGUAUAUUCUUAUUUAAGCUCACCUGAAAUUAGUUAUGAAACCAGGACUCCAUCUGUUACACCACACAUAGCGUGUUCAGGCCACAUUCUUUUGUUUUGUUUUUGUUUUUAGAGACAGGGUCUGUGUAGUUUAG
RNAcentral lists this long non-coding RNA (1440 nucleotides) under Heterocephalus glaber (naked mole-rat). RNAcentral's name for it is "lncRNA (ENSHGLG00000034608.1)". Lineage: Eukaryota; Metazoa; Chordata; Mammalia; Rodentia; Bathyergidae. The record is from RNAcentral.